CUGGGGUUCCGGGUCUUUCGCUGGUUUUGAAUAUUUUUCCGAGUACCCAUUUUAUGCAGAACAUCUUUAGGCAAAACACAGUUAUAGCAACACAACAUUUACCACUUUUCCUGAGGAAGUCUCUACUGCGGAGGAAUGAGUUCAGAGUUAACAAACUUAUUCGGUUUCUUUGCUAAUUUUUACUAAAUUCAUUUGAGAGAAUAACCUCUCUACCUCUGCAUUUGAAUUGAAUGAGGCAGUGGAA
Molecule: long non-coding RNA, 244 nt
Organism: Maniola jurtina (meadow brown)
Lineage: Eukaryota; Metazoa; Arthropoda; Insecta; Lepidoptera; Nymphalidae
Exons: 2
Source: RefSeq, a predicted model, not a curated record